Molecule: non-coding RNA, 485 nt
Organism: Macaca mulatta (Rhesus monkey)
Lineage: Eukaryota; Metazoa; Chordata; Mammalia; Primates; Cercopithecidae
Source: RefSeq, a predicted model, not a curated record
GAACAAUCUGAUUUUCUCCUGAUUCUCCUGCAAAGUAGUGGAAGCCUGUGUCACAGGUUAGACUCCACUCGAAGCUGACUUUAAGGUGAAGACCAGCAUAUGUCAGGGCUUAUUUACAUGAAGGGAGCUCUCUUGGGAUCAAUAGAGAGAAGGUGCCAAGUCAGUAAGAUAAGCAGCUGAUUUCCCAUCAGAAACCAUGAAGGCCAGAAGACAGUAGGAAGCAUCUUCCAAGUGCUAAAAGAAAGAGGGCCAACUAAGAACACCAUCUGAUGCAAAACUGACCUCAAAAAUUAAGGUGAGUGUAAGACAUUUCAACACCAAACCAACAAAGAACCUGCUUUAUAAGAAACACAAAAGACAGUCCUUUAGGCUGAGAUGAACAGACCGUACAAAGCAGCUCCAAUCCACAUGAGGGAACAAAAAGUGCCCAUAAAGAAAAUUACACAGUUAACAAUCAAAGACAAUAAAAUAUUUUUUCUUGGUAA